Molecule: long non-coding RNA, 2029 nt
Organism: Spinacia oleracea (spinach)
Lineage: Eukaryota; Viridiplantae; Streptophyta; Magnoliopsida; Caryophyllales; Amaranthaceae
Exons: 5
Source: RefSeq, a predicted model, not a curated record
UCCACUGUUUCCGAAAAUUUUAAAACCAAGCCCACUUGAAUUGUUCCGAAAAUUUUAAAAGAAAAGAAAAAAUUACAAAAAACACACAAACACUUUCCUUAUUCUAGAACAUUUCCACUACCGAAAAUUAGAGAGGAGAGAGACUGAGAGCGAACAGGCUUUACAAAGUUAGGGUUUCAACCAAAUUGUCGCAAGAUCUAACGAUUUUGUCUGCAAUUCGCAACUAGGUCCGAGCUUAAUCAUAUUUUUUGUAAGGUGUAGGAAUUGGCUGCGAGAAUUCUCUCUCACAUCGCUUAAUUGCUGCUCGAAAUAGUCUAUGCAUCGAGUAGUAGGGUUGAAUUGGGGCUUUGCAAUAAUAAUUCAAUCAAGUUCAGAGGAGAAAUUUUACUUAAACGAUCCGCUAAUAUUCACGCUUUGCUAACUGUUAAUUGCGUUCAAUGGUUUUUGUGGACAAAUGUACGGCGUCUGCUGAUUCUCCAGUGACGAACUUCCCUGGAAAAAUUCUAAAUUACAGCUGAGAAACUCGCACAGAAGCCAAUUCUAGGCUGGCACUUACUGUGAUUUGAUGACCCGGACAGCAGUAUGGCCAACAUGAUUGAUUAAUUGAUUAUCGAGCAUUCGAGCACCAACAUAGUAUCCUCCCUUGAUUUUAGAUUUGAGAUUAAGAAAUUAUUAAUCAGUAUUCUGAAACUACUCUUUUUUUUUGCUAAAGUCUUAUAUCUGUUGUCUAUGCUGCUGACUGCUGUCUGCAUAUGCUGUUGUCUAGACUUUUUCACCCAUGAGGGAUUUUGGACUACAGGUCUAAUUCUGGAUACGUGAAAUUGGUAUCAACCAGAAUAUCAGGUCAGAUUAUAUGUUAUACCUUUAAAUGGAUUUAUCAAGGCAUUGUGUGAAUAGCUAUUUCUCAUAGUACACGAAUCUUUUAGUCUGGCUUGCAUUUGAACUGCCACUGUAAUGAUAGGCAUCAUAGGCAUAUUAUAGCAAGGAGUCCGUGGGAUGGUCAAAGCUCAUCCAAACUCGACUGUCGUUGCUGCUUAGUUUUGUUAUUUUAAUUUAGCAAUAAUAAUAUAAUAGUGAACUGUGAAGUUUGAAGUGAACUAAGUGAAUGAUCUAAUUUUGUUUGUUUAUUGAUGAGAACUGAAUAAAAAACGUCAGAGGACACAAAGUUGAUCAAAUUGUGUUUGAAUUAUAGCGGUUUUCAUACUAGUCAUUGUAAUGCACCUUUUGAUUUUCGUUUGAAAGUUGCAAUCUUAUAUAAUAAUAAAAAUGUCAGUGGCUUAUGUGAGGCCUCCGAAUCCCAAUUGAACAAUUCUGUGCAAUCCUGCCAAAACCAUUAAGAUAACUGUAAUCCCUUCAAACUUUAAUCUUCAAAAUUUAAAUACGUACUCCUCUAAGACAAAACCAUUAAAAUAAUUGUUCCACGUUAUCCCUAAAAAACUCAAGUGUCGUCUGUCAUUUCUCUCUAUUCCGUCUCCUCUCAAAUUUCUGUAUAUUCUGUGUACUUUAGGAAUUUGUGCCAGCAAGCUCAUCUUCAUUAUAUAGAGAUGUGCAUAUUGCAUCUAAAUAUAUUUUUGUCAUUCUAAUGCUUUGAACUUUUGCUUUCAAAACUCAAGGAAGGGCUUGGAGAAGGUUAUGAUUCAGAUGUUGCUUUUGCAAGCGCUCUUGAUCUGAAACAUUUGCAGGAGGGAAUAAUGAUCCUUUAGGUAUUUCUUUUGGAGGUUCAAACUCUCAUUGUGAUGACCUUCAUGUUUCAGCAAAUGGAUGACAGGAUUGUCACUGUGAUGAGCAUGAUGAGCUAAAUGGAGAAGAAAUAUAGAUCUAGCAAAUGAGACGGUGGAGGCUCUUGUUUGUUUUUGGGUCAUUUUGUGAUUUCUAGUAAUGUUGAAUUUGUUUUUAUGGAUUUUAUGUAUUUUUUCCAUUAAAAACAGUAAAUUAAUUAGUGAAUAACUAUUUUGUAAUGCAUGUGUCCUAUGGGCACCAAUAUUUUAAUAUUACUAUUUAAGUCAAUGAAAAUAUUUUGCUAUUGGCA